RNAcentral lists this ribosomal RNA (253 nucleotides) under uncultured bacterium. Its description in RNAcentral is "partial 16S ribosomal RNA". It matches the Rfam family "Bacterial small subunit ribosomal RNA", at positions 524 to 776 of the family's 1533-position model. The record is from RNAcentral.
UACGUAGGGGGCAAGCGUUGUCCGGAAUCAUUGGGCGUAAAGAGCGUGUAGGCGGCCCGAUAAGUCCGCUGUGAAAGUCCAGGGCUCAACCCUGGGAUGCCGGUGGAUACUGUCGGGCUCGAGUCCGGAAGAGGAGUGUGGAAUUCCUAGUGUAGCGGUGAAAUGCGCAGAUAUUAGGAGGAACACCGGUGGCGAAGGCGCCACUCUGGGCCGAAACUGACGCUGAGGAGCGAAAGCAUGGGUAGCAAACAGG